This is a non-coding RNA of Taeniopygia guttata (zebra finch), 11098 nucleotides long. Lineage: Eukaryota; Metazoa; Chordata; Aves; Passeriformes; Estrildidae. The record is from RefSeq and is a predicted model, not a curated record.
CCUUCUAAUUGUUAUUUGUAAUUAUUUUUGAUUUCUUUUAACGUUUCGCGAUUCUAGCGCUUACUUCCGAGAACGACACCCUUCCCCCCCCCCACUUCUCCUUCCCCGGGAGGCCUCGGCGGGGCCCGGCGGUGUUCGGGGUGCGGGGAGUGCAGGGACCCCCCCCGACCCCCGCGCCGCACGGAGCCGCCCCGAGGCGCGGGGAUGGGCGGGGGCGGGAGCAGCGGCGGCGGCGGCGGCGGCGGCGGCAGCGGCACAUCCUUCCCCCGCGCCCCCCUCCUCCCUCCUCCCCCUUCGGCUUCAAAACAAACCGUCACCAAAAUGGUGCAGAGGUGAAGGAGGGAGCGGGAGGAAGGGGAAGAGGUGGCGGCUCGGCCCGGGCGCUGCGGGGACAGUUGGAUUGAGGAGCGGUGGCUGCAGCUCAUCCCUGGCAGGAGCAGAAGAUGCAGGAGGCUGCGUAGCAGGUUUCUGAGCACUGCUGCCAUCUCAGCCCCGCUGGAUCUGGCUGCGUAUGACGGUACCAUGAACUGAGCACGGAGCCACGCAAAACUCCUUUUUUUUUUUUUUUUUCGUUUUGGCUUCUUUUGGGUUUGUUUUCCGCCCGAGAAAAAAGCCCCCCACGCUCUUUAAUGAAAGCGUUUUAAAGCGGGGUCACUCCUCCCCUCCCCUGAGCCGAAGUCGUGCCGGGUGCGGUGAGGAUUUCCGGAGAAGAUGGGGAGAAAAAAGAUCCAGAUCCAGCGGAUCACGGACGAGCGCAACCGGCAGGUGACCUUCACCAAGCGCAAGUUUGGCUUGAUGAAGAAAGCCUAUGAGCUGAGCGUCCUGUGCGACUGCGAGAUCGCCCUCAUCAUCUUCAACCACUCCAACAAGCUGUUCCAGUACGCCAGCACCGACAUGGACAAGGUGCUGCUCAAGUACACCGAGUACAACGAGCCCCACGAGAGCCGGACCAACGCAGACAUCAUCGAGACGUUAAGAAAGAAAGGUUUUAACGGCUGUGACAGCCCAGAGCCCGACGGCGACGACUCCAUAGACCAGAGCCCCUUGAUGGAGGAUAAAUACCGCAAAGGCAGCGAGGAUCUGGAUAUCCUGUUCAAGCGAUACGGUUCCACAGUGCCCGCUCCGAACUUCGCCAUGCCCGUGACGGUGCCGGUGACCAACCAGAACACGCUGCAGUUCAGCAACCCGGGCAGCUCGCUGGUGACCCAGUCCCUGGUGACCUCCUCGCUGACAGACCCCCGGCUCCUGUCGCCGCAGCAGCCGGCCCUGCAGAGGAACACGGUGUCCCCAGGGCUGCCACAGCGGCCAGCCAGUGCAGGGGCGAUGCUUGGGGGAGACCUGAACAACACGAACGGAGCCUGCCCCAGCCCCGUGGGGCUGGCCGGAUCCGUGCUGGGUGGACAUGGCAAUGACAGCAGCAGUGACAGCCCAAGGCCACCCAUCUUUGGGGGAAAUGGCUACGUCAGCGCCCGAGCCUCCCCGGGUCUCCUUCCCGUGUCCAACGGCAGCAGCCUGGGCAAGAUCAUCCCGGCCAAGUCGCCGCCGCCGCCCGCACACGGCGCGCAGCUGGCCGCCAACAGCCGCAAGCCGGACCUGCGCGUCAUCACCUCGCAGAGCGGCAAGGGGCUGAUGCACCACCUGACCGAGGACCACUUGGCUCUGCAAAACACACAGCGGCUGGGUGUCUCUCAAGCAACUCACUCUCUGACCACACCAGUUGUUUCCGUGGCUACUCCGAGUUUGCUGACACAGGGGCUGCCCUUCUCAGCCAUGCCCACAGCGUACAACACAGAUUAUCAACUGACGAGCGCUGAGCUGUCCUCGCUGCCCGCCUUCAGCUCGCCUGGAGGGCUGUCCCUGGGCAACAUCUCUGCCUGGCAGCAGCAGCAGCAGCAGCAGCAACAACAGCAGCAGCAACAGCAGCAGCAGCAGCAGCAACAGCAGCAACAACAGCAGCAGCAGCAGCCACAGCAGCCGCAGCAGCAGCCGCAGCAGCAGCACCUGGUCCCGGUGUCACUAGGAAACUUAAUACAAGGGAGUCACUUGUCCCACACCACCACUUUGACUGUCAACACCAACCCCAACAUCAGCAUCAAGUCCGAGCCCGUCUCGCCCAACCGGGAGAGGAACACUGCCACCCCGCUCAGCACCUUCCCCCACCAGCCCCGCCACGAGCCCACCGGCCGCUCGCCCGUCGACAGCCUCAGCAGCAACACCAGCUCCUACGAGGGCAGCAGCGAGCGGGACGACCCCGCCCGCCCCGAUUUCGGCUCCUCCCUGGGCCUCCUGCGACCCACCAGCGAGCCCGAGGGGGAGAGCCCCUCCGUAAAGCGCAUGCGCUUGGAUACCUGGGUCACAUAACGGGUCCCCACAUCCCUGGGAGCUCCAGGAGGGGCUGGGAGGGGCAGGGGGGGGUGAAACGGGUGAUGGGGAUGGGCUGGGGUUGGGGGGGGAAGUUAUCAUAAACUGCCUGAGAAAUAGCUUUAGGAUUUUGUAGGCAUUCGUUCUAGCGCAGCAGCAGGCGACGCAUGCAGCACAUACGGCGCUGCUCGGGAGCGGCCGGGGCUGUGGGGACGGGGGGCUGGAGGGGAAUAUCCCCAAAUAUUCCUCACCAAAACCAGCAGCCCCUCAGCAGGACCUCCUGGGAUGUGGGGCCGCAGCCCUAAGGCAGAGCCGGCAGCGGGAUGGGCUCCAGGGGCAGACGGGGCUCAGAGCACCCCAAAAUGCACCUUCCUGGCCAUCCCCGUGGGCCCCUGUGCAGGGAGGGGCAGCUCAGACAUGAGGCAGCUCUCUGGAAGCUUGAAGGGCUUUGGUAGGCACAAGUUUUCCUCCAGGGGGGUUUUCCUCCAGCAGUUUUCCUAAAGGCGGAGGGCAGCUCGGAGAGCCCAGAUCUGAUACAGAGCAGGAUGCAGCCACAUCCACAGCCUGCUUGAGGCUCCUGGAUCCUGGGAAGCUGCAUGGGGAGUAAGAGGCAGAUUUUCAAAGCUUAAUCCCGUUUGCAUGACAAGUGGAUGCAGGCAGCAUCCUUCCUACCAGAGCAGGGAACUCCUCUGUUCCUGAGCAGGGUCAUUGGAACGUUGGAGUUCCCGUUUCCCAGGAAGGCUUCACCUCCACCUGGGCACAGCAGUUUGUGGAGAGGGGAUGUUAGUGCUGGCUUUGAGAGCAGGUCGUGGAUUUUAGCAAACAACAUCCACAAAAGCAUUUUGGAAAUGUGUUCCCAUUGCACGUGGGCCAAAGCUUUAAAUCAGGAAAACGGGAAGAGUUGAUUUUUUUACUGAAAGAUGCAACUGAAGUAAUGAUCCUAAUGAGAUUUUGCCUGAAGGUUUCUAGGCCUCAAAAGGCAGCAGUGAGCUGUGCAGAAAAUCUCCCUGAGCCUUGAGCAGUGAUUCAGUGAAAGGAAAACGGAAAAAACAAGGAAUUUCCUCAUGUUGCCACUUGCUCUGGCAGUUUCCCAGGGAUGGGUGUCAGCACCCUGAUCCCAAAAUGCAUCAUCCUGCUCGUGGCUGGAGGGUUUGGAGGAGAAGGGGCCAUUCCUGGCUGGCACAGCCGUCAGGGAUGGGCUUUCUCCCUGCAGGUGCUCAUGCUGGUCCCCUGUUCCCCUCCCAGCCUGCUGCCCUGUCACCCUGUGCAGGGCCACCCCAGCCCCACUGAGCCCUGGGCUCGCAGUCCCAAACUGGCACAAAACCUGCCCGGAUGCCACCUUUGCCAGCUGGAGCCUGGCCAGCCUUGGGGGGCUGUGGAGGAGCUGGGAGCUGCCUGGGGUUUGGCUGGACCCUGAGACAGAGCAAAGGGAGGGGAGCUGGGUCAGGGUGGGGUUUGUCCCCCUCCUGGAUCCCUCUGCCGGGUGUCAGCAGCCAGCUCAGCCUUGGAAUGGCAUAAAAACGUCCCAGGAUGAUGGCAAACCAGAAGCAAAUUUAUGGGGUUUGGUAAAUUUUUCGCAACCAAGCAUUUAUCACAAAGUUUCUAAUUGGAAAAACGCGACAAAAAAAAAAGCUGAUGAUUAUUGCGAAAUGAAUAGGGCGGCCUGAAGGGAGUGGUUGGAGGAGGAGAGGAAAUCCCUCAGAAGUUGGGUGAAAAUUAGAGACCUGAUGGAGGGGUCAGAGCGGUGGGUGGGUACCCUCACCAAGAUCCCUGCACGGAGAGACGUGCCAGGCAAAAUCCCCCCCUCCACACCUCCAAAGACCAAAUUUCUGCCGCGAAGGCUUUUCCAAAUGACCGUUUUAUUCUUUUCCAACGAUCACUUUGGAAUUCCCUCUCCUGUUCCCGUGCUCUGGGAAGGCCUUGGCUAGGCAAGAGGAGGAAAGGAGCCCUGGCAGGUUUUGUGCAGUUCCCCCGUGUGCCCUCCCCGAGCCAAAGGCAGCGGGCAGCGGGGUCUCCCCUCUGGAAUACCGGCGCAGAAGCGGAUCUCCUCCCUCCCUCCAUCCCUGGCAGCCCUUGGGGAAGCAGGAGAGAUGCUGAGGACCGUGGUCUUCCUCACCUGCACCGCCGCCCCGCCCCGGCCACGCCGGAUGUACCGGACGCGCACCUGAGCUCUUUGCACGGCCUUGCUUUGGAAAUUAGGCGGGAUAAUGACGUCUCAUCGCUCUCGUUUUUUUUGUAUUUUUGUUUUUGGUUUUGUUUUUCCUUCACAAAACAAUAAACUCAACCCAACGAACCGGGAGCAGCGUGGCAGGAGGGCCCAGCACAGACCUCGGCCGGGAGCGGCAGCGGAGACCCCCCGGCACUCGACGCAACCGUCAAGGGGGAAAAAAACCCAAAAAAACCAAAAAAAACCCCAUUUUUGCUCAUGAACUUCACGCCCUGACUCCCGAGUUCACACUUCUGCCUGGAAGCUGAGAGCCUGGAAGACGCAGGAGGCAGGAGACAGAGGCUGGGUUACUCAGAUCUGCCCGGGGCGGAUCUGCAGCUGCGGGACUCCAGCACCCCUGGGUGCCACGGGCAAGUACGGCUCGUGGGGAGGUGGGGUGGCCUCACCUCACACACGGCCUGGCUUCACCUUUGGGGGCUGCUUGUGGGGCUCUUCAUUUUCUUGGGGGCUUGGGGUUAUUUUAUUAUUAUAUUCUAUUUUUUUUUUUUUUUGUCCGGAUCAUUAUCCUUUAUCCCCCCCCACCCCAGACUGUAGUAUCUGGUAAACGCCUCCUAAUUUUCAAAAGACAACGAGAAGAAUGACAAUCUAAGAAACCAACACCCUCCUUUGUGCUUCUAUAAAUAUGUUUCUGAUCUAAUUUUAUUUCUCGUGCUCAUCUGUACUGUUGACAGUUACAAUUGUGUAUAAUUUUUUUUUUUUUUAAUUUGGAAUUUUUUGCGUUGUAUAGGGUUUAGUUUUAAAAUAUAUAUAUAUUUUCCAUUUUUUAAAAAGGGGUGUUGCAAAAAAAAAAUUGCACGAUUUAAAUGACAAUAGUUAAAAUGCUGCAGUUUUUAGAGAUGUGGAAGCAAAAUGGAGCUUAUUUAUUCUCAAAGGCUAUAAAGGUGUAAAAUGCAUGAAGAAAAAAAACAUUUACAAAAAAAAAAAAAAAAGACAAAAAAAGUGUAACCUGAACAAAGUGUAGCGUUAAAGAUUUUAAAGGAUGACAACAACAAGAAAAAAAGAAAAAACCAACAAAAAAACAGCUAAUAUAUUGUGUUUGGGCUAGUUUGCUUUUGUUUUUAAUUGUUCCUUUUUUGGAGAAUGAAAUACAUUUGUGUAUAUUUUCAUAUAAGAAGUAUGCACUGAGAUGUUUCCAAACUGAUAUAUUCCUUUCUAAACGUGUGGUUACUUACCAAAGUCUGUUUCUGAUCUUUACCUUCCGAACCCUCUGCGGAUCCCGCACCUGAGCACAGGUAAGCCGGGCUGGGGGCAGGGCGUGCCCCCUCCCCGCGGGGUGCCAGGGGGUGCCAGGGGGUGCCAGGGGGCAGAGCCGGGGGGCUGGCACGCCUGGGGGCUCUGACCCCCGCCCGGGAAGGCUGGACUUUCCCAGGGCUUGGCAGGGCUGGGUUUUGGGGGGCUGUGCCAGGGGCAGCGCUGCGGGGGCAGGUUCGGGGCACAGAGGAGGAGGAAGGAGGGGAGGAAGGAGACGACCACAAGGUGUGGCUCAGCUGCAGGAGCAGGGAUGGGGUGGGAAGUCGCUGCCCAGCCCUGGAGGAGGUCUGGGGAUGGAGCAGGACCCUAAAUAUGAUGGAUAGAGCCUAAAAUGCUGGGAAGGGCACUGAAAUACUGCCUGGGUGCAGUGAGGAUGGUGAUGGAUCAGUGGGCACGUCCUGCCCGCUCUGGGGGCUGUGCAGGUGGUCAGCUGGGGUUGAGCGGUCAGCGGGGAUCGGGUGGUCAGCUGGGAUGGACUGGUCAGCUGGCAUUGAGUGGGCAGCUGGCAUUGAGUGGUCAGCUGGCAUUGAGUGGUCAGCUGGCAUUGAGCGGUCAGCUGGCAUUGAGUGGCCAGCUAGGAUUGAGUGGUCAGCUGGGAACGGGUGGUCAGCUGGGAUGGACUGGUCAGCUGGGAUUGAGUGGUCAGCUGGGAUUGAGUGGUCAGAUGGCACUGAGCGGUCAGUGGGGGUGAGAUGGUCAGCUGGCAUUGAGUGGUCAGCUGGGAUCAGGUGGUCAGCUGGCAUUGAGUGGUCAGCUGGGAUCAGGUGGUCAGCUGGCAUUGAGUGGUCAGCUGGGAUUGAGUGGUCAGCGGAGAUCGGGUGGUCAGCUGGCAUUGAGCGGUCAGCUGGGGUUGAGUGGUCAGCUGGCAUUGAGCAGUCAGUGGGGGUCAGAUGGUCAGCUGGCAUUGAGUGGUCAGCUGGCAUUGAGUGGUCAGCUGGGAUCGGGCGGUCAGCUGGCACUGAGUGGUCAGCUGGCAUUGAGUGGUCAGUGGGGACCGGGUGGUCAGCUGGGAUUGGAUGGUCAUCUGGCACUGAGUGGUCAGCUGGGAUCGGGCGGUCAGCUGGCACUGAGCGGUCAGCUGGGAUCGGGUGGUCAGCUGGCACUGAGUGGUCAGCUGGGAUUGAGCGGUCAGUGGGGGUCAGAUGGACAGCUGGCACUGAGUGGUCAGCUGGCACUGAGCGGUCAGUGGGGCCGUGCUCAGCGUGGGCACAGGGUGACCCUCCCGAGGUGGCUUUGGGUGGCAGCGCCCGGCUGUGCAGGAUGUCUGCACCAGGGGCUGUGCAGGCUGGCAGUGCCCCGUGGGGUGUGAGGGGCACCCCAGCCCCACGGGGGUCACGGCUGUGGCAGGGGGGUCUGGGGGUCCCUUGGGGAAGGGGUUUGGUGCUGGGCUGUGUUUGAGGGCAGUGGAAGUGUUCAAUCCAGAGCUGGUGGCAAUGGGCCACGUGUGGGCCUGGGGAAAGCGGGGCAAAGAGAAAGAACACGUUUCCUUUUCCUUCGGGGCAAAGAGAAAGAACACGUUUCCUUUUCCUUCCUCCUUUUUCACUUCCCUCUUCCUCUCCAGAAUAAUUUCAGCAAACCAGGGAAAAAGUAAAUUGACAAAAACCCACAUUUUCCUUGAGUAUUUCACCUCCUACACUUUUUUCUCCCCUUGUGUUGCUUGGCUGGGGGAUUCCCCAUCACUUUGGGUGCGAAUUGGGAUGUUUGUCACCAGUUCUGGGGACAGGCUGUGAGCUGCUGUGCCAGCCCAGAGCUUGGCUGGGGUAAGGGGCACUUGCCCCUCUGCCCUCCUAGGGAGAGCAUCCAUCAGGUGGGGAAGGAGCAUCUUCCCAGCUCUCCUUGGCUCUGCCAUCCUGCCUCCCUUCUCUCCAGCUGGGGGCACAAUUUGGGGAUGUUCGGGGCAUUUUCACCACCCAAAGUGGUGAAAAUUCAUCCCCAUCCACCUCGCUGUGGGAGAGUGCCUAACAGUGGGCUUCAGCUGAAGGUUUGCUCUGGUUUCCCUUUCCCGUGUUCAUCCUUUUAUUCCACCUUCCCCUCUCACUUCACUUUUCUCUUUUGUUUUAUUUUCUCUUUUCCUUUCCACAAAAAAACCCAACCAGACCCAUAAACCAAGUAUUAUGUUUUCACUACCUCCAUCCAUCACCCUGCCGUGUCCAAUGCAGGAAGCCACGCUCGGGAUGUAAGAGGGCCUUUCCCCUUUAUUUUUCCCUUUUUCCUGGCGAUUUUCUCUCCCUUCUGUCCCUCUGCCCCUCCUCUCUCUGGUCUCUCACCUGUAGUAUUUUACCUGGCUACUGUAACUGUAAAUAGCGAGUUUCAAUCUGUUAGCAAUGGUAACAGUACAGAAAACUGGUUUUGGGGUUUGUUCUUUUUUUUUUUUUUUUUUUCCCGUUGUAUUGAUAUGAAAUGAGAUUAUAUUUUUGUCAGAGUAUAUUGUAAUAAUACUGACUUUGGACAUGGCCGAGUUGUACAGCGAUUUCUUGUUUAACCCUCUUGGCUCUUCCCGUGCACCCCCUCCCCAGGCUGCCCAAAUUUCCACGUCCCAGACCCAGAUCCUGGACAGGAGCAGCUCCUUGGCUCUGUAGCAGCUCCCCUCUCCUCCCCAGCCAGGGGAACAUCCCAGUGACAUCCCAGUUUCUUCCUCCCGAGCUCCGUUCUCCGGAGCGAUGCUGCUCGGGAUGUGCUUUACUUAAGCCAGAAGAGGGUGGUGUGGCUCAGGCUGCGCCAAAAUCAUCUCUGAACAGGCUGGGAAGGGGAAAUGGGGGAUUGAGAAUAUCCCUCAGGAUGGGAAAUUUUUGGGAAAUGAGGGAUUGAAAAUAUCCUUCAGGCUGGGAAGGUUUUUGGGGAAAUGAGGGAUUGACAAUAUCCUUAGGCUGGGAAGGUUUUUGGGGAAAUGAGGGAUUGACAAUAUCCUUAGGCUGGGAAGGUUUUUGGGGAAAUGAGGGACUGAAAAUAUCCCUAGGCUGGGAAGGUGUUUGGGAAAUGAGGGAUUGACAAUAUCCCUCAGGCUGGGAAUGUUUUUGGGGAAUGAGGGGUUGACAAUAUCCCUCAGGAUGGGAAGGUUUUGGGGAAAUGAGGGAUUGACAAUAUCCUUCAGGCUGGGAAGGGGAAAUAAGGGAUUGAGAAUAUCCCUCAGGAUGGGAAGGUUUUGGGGAAAUGAUGGAUUGACAAUAUCCUUCAGGCUGGGAAGGUUUUUGGGAAAUGAGGGGCUGACAAUAUCCUUCAGGAUGGGAAGGUUUUUGGGGAAUGAGGGAUUGACAAUAUCCCUCAGGCUGGGAAGGUUUUUGGGAAAUGAGGGGUUGACAAUAUCCCUAGGCUGGGAAGUUUUUGGGAAAUGAGGGAUUGACAAUAUCCCUCAGGCUGGGAAGGUUUUUGGGAAAUGAGGGGUUGACAAUAUCCCUAGGCUGGGAAGGUUUUUGGGAAAUUAAGGGUUGACAAUAUCCCUCAGGAUGGGAAGGUUUUUGGGGAAUGAGGGAUUGACAAUAUCCCUCAGGAUGGGAAGGUUUUUGGGAAAUGAGGGGUUGACAAUAUCCCUAGGCUGGGAAGUUUUUGGGAAAUGAGGGAUUGACAAUAUCCCUCAGGCUGGGAAGGUUUUUGGGAAAUGAGGGGUUGACAAUAUCCCUAGGCUGGGAAGGUUUUUGGGAAAUUAAGGGUUGACAAUAUCCCUCAGGAUGGGAAGGUUUUUGGGGAAUGAGGGAUUGACAAUAUCCCUCAGGAUGGGAAGGUUUUUGGGUAAGGAGGGAUUGCCAAUAUCCCUCAGGCUGGGAAGGUUUUUGGGGAAUGAGGGGUUGACAAUACCCCCAGCCCGACUGUCCCUGGGUGGGGAUGGGCGGCUGUGUCUCCCCCAGCCCCCCGCACCCACCCCAGGCCAUGAGGGUGAGAUGCAGAGAGGGAUUUUCUUCACUUCAAAUGGGUGUUCAGAGUGAGAUUUUCAUGCUGGUGCUGGCCCAGCUCCUCCUUCUCCAGGCAGGAACCCACCACAGAGCCGCAGGAGCAUCCCCAAACCCUCUCCUGGGACCAUGCUGGGAUGUCCCCAUGGGCUCCUGGCAUCUCCGAGGCUGGGAGGUGAAGCAGCCCCACCUUGGGCCAUGACUCCCCUCCUCCCCACGGCUCUUUCCAAGCAUUUGCAGGCAAAUCUGAUGCUGGAGAAGUGGGGAUCGUGGUGGCCCAGCUGCUGCUCCCUCCUCCUCCAUUCUCCCCCAUCCCCUUUGCUCCCCGUAGCUCAGUUAUGCAGGUAGGUGUUAGCAAACCUGGGGUGUCUGCAAAAACUUUUGUAAAAUAGAAUAAACCCUUGAAAUGAUGCACUAAAAGGAAAAAAAAAAAAAAUCAUAAAUGCCCCUUUCCCCUCAGCUUCUCUGUGUGAUGGUUCCUUGGAUGUCCCCGCUCAGCCCCACAGGCAGCUCUGCAUCCUCCCCCCAGGCUGCUGCACAGGUAGAAACAAACCAGGACGUGCACUUCCCCCGAGGAGUUUUAUUUAUUGUUUUGAGAAGCAAUUUAAAAGGGAAAAACAACAAAAAAAAAGAGAAACUGUAUCUAUAAUAUAUAUAUAUAUAUAUAUAUAUAUUUUUAACCUCUUUUUUUUUUUUCCUGAUGCUCCUCCACCCGUGUGUGUGGGUGUGUGUGUGUGUGCGAGUCAAGGGAUUUGGUGGCCAGGGCUGGCAGCUCGGGGCAGCCGUGGGGCAGCCGUGGGGCAGCUGUGGGGCAGCUGUGGGGCAGUUUUGGGGCAGUUUUGGGGCAGUUGUGGGGCAGCUGCCCCCGUCCCCAGCCGGAGCACAGGGACCAGGGCUCCCUCCCAUCCCAGCUCUCAGUGCCCAGCAGCAGCAGUGCGAGGGGAGGGAGGCUUUAUGUGGAGUUUGUAAUAUUUUAACCGGGAUUUUUGCCUAAUUCCAUCUUUCUCUGAAGUGUUUGCAACCCUCGGGCUCUGGCCUGACCGAGAACCUCCCGCGCCCUGGGGAUGUCACCCCCACUCCCUGUCCCCGUUCCCUCCCUACUUCGCUCCCUUGACAAUCAGUGGCUCCUUCCCAGGGACUGCAGCACGUGGUUGAGACGUCUAUUUCGUUUUUUCAAUAUUCCUUUUUUUGUGCUGUAUGGUGAUGCGUUAUUGUAUAUUCCACAAUAAGACAAAAAAAAAUAUAUAAAAAAAAUGAUAAUAAUAAUAAUUACCAUGAGAAAUUCUUAUGAGUUUUGUUUGGAAACUCUUUCACUAUAUUUGUUGUAAAGAGGUUUACUAUUAAAAAGAAAAAAAAAAAUACACGUUUCUGAUAA